UACGAAGGGGGCUAGCGUUGCUCGGAAUUACUGGGCGUAAAGCGCACGUAGGCGGAUCCUUAAGUCGGUGGUGAAAUCCUGAGGCUCAACUUCAGAACUGCCUUCGAUACUGGGGACCUUGAGUUCGGGAGAGGUGAGUGGAACUGCGAGUGUAGAGGUGAAAUUCGUAGAUAUUCGCAAGAACACCAGUGGCGAAGGCGGCUCACUGGCCCGAUACUGACGCUGAGGUGCGAAAGCGUGGGGAGCAAACAGG
RNAcentral lists this ribosomal RNA (253 nucleotides) under uncultured bacterium. RNAcentral's name for it is "partial 16S ribosomal RNA". It matches the Rfam family "Bacterial small subunit ribosomal RNA", at positions 524 to 776 of the family's 1533-position model. The record is from RNAcentral.